Molecule: long non-coding RNA, 511 nt
Organism: Numida meleagris (helmeted guineafowl)
Lineage: Eukaryota; Metazoa; Chordata; Aves; Galliformes; Numididae
Exons: 3
Source: RefSeq, a predicted model, not a curated record
GUGCCAUCCACGUGCCCUCCCCGCACCGCUCCGGGCGGAGCCACCGCGCCGGGGCAGGUACCGUCGGUUCUGGGUUCGGUUCGUGUCCGGUACCGGACCCGGUUCGGGCUGCAGCCAUGCUGAGCCUCCUGGGAUCGCUGCUGCAACGAGCGGUGGAAACGCCGGAGCCGCAGGUGGAGCUGCUGGAGGCGUUCACCGGGCACUGGAGGGGAAUCACCGGGUACUACCUGGAGGCGACGGCUUGGGAAUGGGGUCCCCGUGCCCGAAAAUAGAGGAGAAGAGAUUGGAAGUAGAGUUCCCGUGUCCCGGAAGAGGGUUCCCGUGCCUGGACCAGGUACGGGGCUGGGGAGCACCGGGACCCACUGCCCAUCAAUGGACAGACUGGAAACGGGGUCCCGUGCCCUAAAGUGGGGUCAAAUCGAUGGGAAAUAGGGACGGGUCGGCUGGAAAUGGGGACCCCCUGCCCGAAAAUGGGGUCGGAUCGUCCAGAAAUGGGGUCCCUGCGCCCAAA